GCUACGGGAGGCAGCAGUGGGGAAUAUUGCACAAUGGGGGAAACCCUGAUGCAGCGAUGCCGCGUGGAGGAAGAAGGUUUUCGGAUUGUAAACUCCUUUUAUCAGGGACGAUAAUGACGGUACCUGAAGAAAAAGCUCCGGCUAACUACGUGCCAGCAGCCGCGGUAAUACGUAGGGAGCGAGCGUUGUCCGGAAUUACUGGGUGUAAAGGGAGCGUAGGCGGGACGGCAAGUCAGAUGUGAAAACUGAGGGCUCAACUUUCAGACUGCAUUUGAAACUGGCAGUCUUGAGUGGGCGAGAAGUAUGCGGAAUGCGUGGUGUAGCGGUGAAAUGCAUAGAUAUCACGCAGAACUCCGAUUGCGAAGGCAGCAUACCGGCGCCCGACUGACGCUGAGGCACGAAAGCGUGGGUAUCGAACAGGAUUAGAUACCCCUGUAGUC
RNAcentral lists this ribosomal RNA (440 nucleotides) under uncultured bacterium. Its description in RNAcentral is "partial 16S ribosomal RNA". It matches the Rfam family "Bacterial small subunit ribosomal RNA", at positions 338 to 795 of the family's 1533-position model. The record is from RNAcentral.